CCAGACUCCUACGGGAGGCAGCAGUGAGGAAUAUUGGUCAAUGGCCGAGAGGCUGAACCAGCCAAGUCGCGUGAGGGAUGACGGCCCUACGGGUUGUAAACCUCUUUUGCCGGGGAGCAAAGAGCGGGACGCGUCCCGCCUCGAGAGUACCCGGAGAAAAAGCAUCGGCUAACUACGUGCCAGCAGCCGCGGUAAUACGUAGGGGGCAAGCGUUAUCCGGAAUUAUUGGGCGUAAAGAGUACGUAGGUGGUUUUGUAAGCGCGGGGUGAAAGGCAGUGGCUUAACCAUUGUAAGCCUUGCGAACUGCAAGACUUGAGUGCAGGAGAGGAAAGCGGAAUUCCUAGUGUAGCGGUGAAAUGCUUAGAUAUUAGGAGGAACACCAGUGGCGAAGGCGGCUUUCUGGACUGUAACUGACACUGAGGUACGAAAGCGUGGGGAGCAAACAGGAUUAGAUACCCGCGUA
RNAcentral lists this ribosomal RNA (463 nucleotides) under uncultured bacterium. RNAcentral describes it as "bacterial SSU rRNA". It matches the Rfam family "Bacterial small subunit ribosomal RNA", at positions 331 to 792 of the family's 1533-position model. The record is from RNAcentral.